Molecule: transfer RNA, 68 nt
Filed under: Desmaulus extinctorium
Lineage: Eukaryota; Metazoa; Mollusca; Gastropoda; Littorinimorpha; Calyptraeidae
Description: tRNA-Thr
Rfam family: tRNA
About the family: Transfer RNA (tRNA) molecules are approximately 80 nucleotides in length. Their secondary structure includes four short double-helical elements and three loops (D, anti-codon, and T loops).
Source: RNAcentral
GUAGCAAUAGCUUAAUAUGAGAGUAAUGGUCUUGUAAGUCAUUGGUGGGUGUAUCUGCCCUUGCUACA